GACGAACGCUGGCGGCGUGCUUAACACAUGCAAGUCGAACGGAAAGGCCCUGCGUUUGUGGGGUGCUCGAGUGGCGAACGGGUGAGUAACACGUGAGUAACCUGCCCUUGACUUUGGGAUAACUUCAGGAAACUGGGGCUAAUACCGGAUAGGAGCUCCUGCUGCAUGGUGGGGGUGGGAAAGUUUCGGCGGUUGGGGAUGGACGCGCGGCUUAUCAGCUUGUUGGUGGGGUAGUGGCUUACCAAGGCAUUGACGGGUAGCCGGCCUGAGAGGGUGACCGGCCACAUUGGGCCUGAGAUACGGCCCAGACUCCAACGGGAGGCAGCAGUGGGGAAUAUUGCACAAUGGGCGGAAGCCUGAUGCAGCAACGCCGCGUGCGGGAUGACGGCCUUCGGGUUGUAAACCGCUUUCGCCUGUGACGAAGCGUGAGUGACGGUAAUGGGUAAAGAAGCACCGGCUAACUACGUG
RNAcentral lists this ribosomal RNA (468 nucleotides) under uncultured bacterium. Its description in RNAcentral is "partial 16S ribosomal RNA". It matches the Rfam family "Bacterial small subunit ribosomal RNA", at positions 28 to 507 of the family's 1533-position model. The record is from RNAcentral.